Molecule: long non-coding RNA, 5005 nt
Organism: Pseudopipra pipra
Lineage: Eukaryota; Metazoa; Chordata; Aves; Passeriformes; Pipridae
Exons: 2
Source: RefSeq, a predicted model, not a curated record
CUGCUUGUUAGGCCUGGUGUUCCAGGCUGGAAUAUCCAACCACCAAUGUGUGUCUUCGGUGGAAUUUUAAGUUUUGAUAUAAGGAUUCUGAUUAUUGCUCUUAUUAAAUUCUGCUUGGUUAUAAACUGUAGGGUAAUAUGUAUAACUGCAAUUCCUUUUCAGGAAUCAAAACAAGAGGGAAACUUUCAGUCCUCGAUCUUCAUGUUUGCAAAGCUGUCAAUAAGUGUGAAUUGAUGCAGAGAUAAAUGCACAUUCUCAUUAGUUUCCUUUGAUGAAUCAGCAUCAUGAGUUUGGUUGGAAGCAUUUCUUAUCAGUUCAUUUGCAAAAUGUUGUGGCUCGUGCUCAAUUUUCCAUUUCCUAAUCAGUGUCUAUACUGAAGAUUUGGGAAGAGUCAUAUGGUUCACAUUAAACCAUGGAGAGGACUAGGUGUUUGCCUGAUCUCUCAGUGAAUAUCUGUUUUCCACAAGUGCUUUUUGUAUCUAAAACUUGGUUUAUGACACACAUGGCUGGUAGGAAAUAUAGAAGUGGAAGAUGCAAAACUAACAAAAAAAAUAGUGAAGGAUCUCCAAAAGCUUUAUGUCUAAGGAAGGCAGUUUUGUGGCACUUGCACAAAUGUGUUUCAGGGUCUUAUUAACUUCUAAUUUAAUUUUUUUGUUUGCUUAUGAAGCCUGUAGAGUGAGAAGGAGUGUUUUGUUUAUCUCAUUUCUCAAUUGGUCUCUGCACUGCAGGACUCACAGGGUGACUCUGGCAGCAAAAUUAGUAUCCUGAAGAUAAGAGGUUUUCUGCAAUAUAUAGAAUGCACAGAAAGGACAGCUGUGGAAGAACUUGGCUAUAAACAACAUCUCUAUUCCAAGCAGUAGUAAUCUGCAACAAGUCUUUCUUCUUUCCUUUGCUGUAAACAUAAGCACUGCUGUUAUCCAUGUCUAAUCCUUUCAGUAAUUCUACUGUCUUAGUUUCAGGGAUAAGUUGUAGUAAUGAAUUAUCCCAGUAUUAACUGGAUGAACCAGCUGGGAUGAAACAGAAAAUGCCAUUAUUACUGUGAAAAUUUUAGUAAAGAUGAGAGUGGAUGUUGAGGGGAUGGAGAAGGGAACAAACUGUCUUAAGUACUUGGUGUUCUUUUGUUCUUCCACAAUCUUUGCUGGGUUUGGCUUUUGUUUAAAACCAAGAACUUUUUAGUUCUAAUUAACGAAAGGAGUUCUAGUUGAAAAAUAUCCAAAACUGAGAUAGAUUGUGCUCAACAUGCUCAACAGUGACUAAAUUAAGCAGAUUAAAAUUAACCUAGGCUAGGUCAGUGUAACUAACUAACAUUUGUAUCCACCAGGAUCAGAAGUGAUGGAGUAACCUGUUGAGAGCACAACUUCAUUUUCAAGCAGCAGGGAUCAGUUCUGAAGCAACAGUGAAUAGUUUUAAAGGCAAUUUCAUAUUUGUUGGCUUUGCAUUUAUGAAAUAGCAUCUUUAAUAGAUGAUGUCUGAUGCUGCACUGUAAAGUUCCCAUCUUAGAAAUGCCAACAGACUGCACAGAUGCAGAGCUGCUGUAGAUUUCAAUAGGCAGCAGCUGCACAACCUCUCAAAGCUUUUUCAGUGAAUGACCACAAUCCCUAAAUCUAAUUUUAUAGAUCCUAGAUUCCUAAGUAGGGAAUAACAACAUAUUCCUGAUGAGCUGAAAGUCUUGUAAUUUAGUAGCAGAAUACGAUUGUUUCAGAGGAGUCCAUGUGCCCCUGAAUAUGAGUUUCCCAAGCCUGCCAUAGGAAUGUUGCCUGGUUCCAAAAUACUCACUAAGGCUCAGUGGCUUCUCUCAGGUUCAAGAUUCUAAAUCUGGGAUUCAGAUUUAAAAAUUUAGGCAGAGGGCUGUUAUAUCAGUGUAGAACUCCAUGGCUUACUUUGCUGAUUACAAAAUAUUUGUAAAGUACCUCUUUGUUCAAAUUGAUUGAUUUCCCCUGUAUUUUUCUUCUGCUUUUGAACACCUCAACGAGGACUUUAUUUCAGGGGCUUGCAUCUCAUCCUCAGCUUUCUGUAUUGUUUCUGUCUCCAAGACUUACUUACUCUGUGUGGAUUCUUUGUAUUAGUGAAGCUUGAGUUGUUAUUUACAGAAAGGGUAAGUAAAAGAAGAAAGUAGGAGAUGUGGUGGUGAGAAAUGAAGUCUAUGCUGAGUGUGUUCUGUUUGCUCCUGGAAUCCUGACCACUGCCAUAUCACUGGAGUGAUUAUCCAAGGCUGAGGGGAAGGCUUUAUUAAUCUACCUGAGGGCUCCUGCAGCCUGUGCAAGAAAAAGGAAAAAAGAGAGUUGAAUAUCCCAUGCUGACAGAGUGAAAUAAAGCUGCCAAGUUCUGCUGAGAACGUGGGCUCUGAUGUGUCUGUCACCUCCCUGGCAGUCACUCCUGCACACCCAGUACGUGGUUCAGAGCAUGACUGGAGCUGGCUCUGGCUCCCGAGAUGGGAAGUGGGUGCAAAGCAGUUCCUGGGAUAGAACCUCACCCUCACACGUGCUGCUGCUGCUGCUUCAUGCCCGGGUCUGAGCACGUGCUCACCAGCCUGGGACACUUCCACAACUGCAGGUCGCUUGUUUUCCUUCUGGGUGUAUCCACAGCUCUCUCCCUUUUCUCUUCUAAAGGCAAGAAUGAGCUGGCUAUGCUUAGUGAUGCAUGAAAUCAUUCUGGUCAUUUGGUAACCCAUCCCAUCCAAAUGUUUCUUUCCUUUCACUUUGGCCUUGCCAGGCAAUGGAAAGAAAAUACCUCUUCAGGUUAUAUUUUCGUGAGGAUUUGGUUGCCAUGAAAACUGAUGGGAGCAAGUGCUGUGACUUCACUGCUCUCCCUUCAAGUUGCUUUAAAAAAGACAUUAGAACCUGACACCUCACUAAGAAAUAAUAACUGUGAAGCUCCCAGUCUUGGCAGCUAAAGCUCAGUGCUUCAUGGAAACAGAUUAUCAGCCAGUUUCCUGCAGCCUUCCCUGACUCUUCUUCCCUCUUGAAGUGGGCACUUUGCACUUGUUCCAUCUGAUGUGUCCCUGUCCAGGCUGGAGCUUCUGUUAGCUCUGGCCACUUCCACAGAAAUUCAGAAUUAACUCAGAAUUAACUCAGAGUUAACUUCUAGAAUAUUUACCAUUAGUGCAAGACAGAGAGCAGCCAAAACAGCAGCAAUAUGUUGAUGCCCCUUAAUACCUGAAGUUGUUGCUAUUACUUGAUCAGUCUGUAGUUUUCCUAUAAUGAAGUUGCAAAUGUUUCUUAAACAAUUAUUGUUCAAAUUGAUUUUGAUCGAUUUGCUGGGAAGAAAAUCCCCCCCAAAACCACAGCAAGUGCAGUCUUCUCCAGGGGGAGGUUUCAAGAGGAAGGUUUGCCUCAAGUGCUAGUUGUCCUGCAAAACCUUUGAAAAUUAGGUUGUCCAGCCUGAGGAAACCAACCAAACCUAACAAACUUUAAAUCAUCUUUAUUUUCUUUCCCUUUGGAGCCAUGUUUACAGCUAACCUGAGAGAACACUGGUGUGCAGAGGUUUUUUAUUAGUUUUUUUUUUCUUUGCUUUUGGGGUUUUUUGUUUGUUUGGGGUUUUUUUCUGAUUUUGUGUUUUUUUUUUUUCAGUACUUUUUCUAAAUUUUUGUAAUUUUUAAUGCAAUUUUGCCGAUUUGUUAAGGUGGGAUCCAAGAAAGAAAAUACUUAAUCUUUCCUCUGCAAGCCCCAGGACUUCUGAGACCCAACACCCUGGGUUUGGCCCAGAGCUGGUGUCACCAUCCAGGUGACAAGAAGUCAAGAGGUGGGGCAGCAGCUCCCCAGCUGCUCCUGACAGUGGCUGGGAGCUGCUCCAUCCCCUUCCUCCAUGGGUCUCUUGCAGCAUCCAGAGAUGUGGGGUGGCUUUGGGUUGUCCCUCGCAGCUCCUCCCAUCUUUGCCGUGUGGGUUUAAGCGUGACCGAGCAUCACUUGCUGCCUGCUUUAUGUGCAGGGUGCUGUGUUUGAGUCUCUCUGGGGAUCCUGAUCCCUGCUCAGCUUCGUUCUCCUCCUCCUCUGAGCAGAAAUGGGUGAGGGUGGAGAUUUGGUGCCCUCUGGUUAUCAGUUUAUUAACCGUGUUAAUGAUGUGUGGAACCGCACGUCCCGCCUGGCUCCAGCCUGUGCCCAGACGUGCUCCAGCAUGUCAAUGCUGGCUGUGGGACCUGCUCCCAGCUCUGGGUGCUCCUGUGGCACAGAGCCAGGGCGUUAGCAACUUGUCCCUCCUCGUUGUGUUGCCACAGAGAUGCAGUAGGUUAAUUGUGGGAAUGGAAUCAAUCACCAUUAAAGCUGCCGGUGCUCGCAGGCUGAGGUGGUUUGAUGAGACGCUGUGCAUUCAGCACAGAACACAGUAAUUCUUAUCUUCAACUCUGGACUUCUUAACUUCUUCCCCUGCUGAUUGAGUUCAGGCCCUUUUCUGUGUCAUUAUUUAGUCUUUCCCUGGCUGUGUCUCUGGUUUUUUGUCUCCCAAGCCAGCCUGUUGAUUUUUGUACUCCUGCUGACAGCUGAACUAUUGCUUGAACUGCCUUAGCUCGCUGUCCAACUCACCAGUAAAUGAAACCUCCACAAGAGAUACCUACAGCUGAGAAAUGCCAUCAUCCCUGAUUGGUAUUCCCUGUACAAGAUCCCUGGUUGGUUGUUUCCAUGGUGCCAAGGUGUGUGUGUGGUGGCACUGCAAGGGAACUGUGAUGAACAUGGUGUAGGUGGGUCCUGGUGCAGUGACUCACAUCCAGCUGAUGUGGAGGUGGGUGUUUUCAGAGCUGGGCUUGAUUUGGUUUAGUUUUACCUUCACAUCACAGGUGUCCACUGCACAGAGAGGAGGUUGAAGGUAGAAAGCACUUCGGAAUAACUUGGAAAUUGGUCUCUUCGGAUACACUCAGCCCUCACCCCUUUUCUGUGCUUGCUUUGCCUGUUUGCUUUUGCUCCAAAAUAUACUAAUUUUCUUGUAAAAGGUGCUGUCACCUCUGGUUUUGUGAAACUAAAAUGUAAAACUUACUCUUUUGUAAAAAACUGCCUUCAUAAAUUAGAAAAGUCUA